UGCCCAGCAACUCCUAUCCCUACCUCCUCGUGGUACCGGCUAGAAACUACCAGCAACCUUAGGGAAGAUCGGGUAACCAACCCCGGUGGGAACUUUGGUCGUAGGCUGACAGGGAAGG
Molecule: non-coding RNA, 118 nt
Organism: Aedes albopictus (Asian tiger mosquito)
Lineage: Eukaryota; Metazoa; Arthropoda; Insecta; Diptera; Culicidae
Source: Rfam